CGCGGGGUAGAGCAGUGGUAGCUCGGGAGGCUCAUAAUCUCCAGGUCAGUGGUUCGAAUCCACUCCCCGCAA
RNAcentral lists this transfer RNA (72 nucleotides) under Candidatus Daviesbacteria bacterium RIFCSPHIGHO2_02_FULL_37_9. Its description in RNAcentral is "tRNA-Met". It matches the Rfam family "tRNA". From Rfam's summary of the family: Transfer RNA (tRNA) molecules are approximately 80 nucleotides in length. Lineage: Bacteria; Candidatus Daviesiibacteriota. RNAcentral also lists the same sequence under 1 other name. The record is from RNAcentral.